GGGGAUAAGUCGGGGAACUGAAACAUCUCAGUACCCGGAGGAAAGGACAUCAACCGAGACUCCGUUAGUAGUGGCGAGCGAACGCGGAUCAGGCCAGUGGCUAUGACAAUCUAAACCGAAUGUGUUGGGAAACACGACCAAAGUGGGUGACAGUCCCGUAGGUGUGUUGAUUGUUGUGGUCCUAGAGUAGGGCGGGACACGUGAAAUCCUGUCUGAACAUGGGGGGACCACCCUCCAAGCCUAAGUACUCCUUACCGACCGAUAGUGAACUAGUACCGUGAGGGAAAGAUGAAAAGUACCCCGAUGA
This 307-nucleotide ribosomal RNA is filed under the name Ochromonas sp. CCMP1393. Its description in RNAcentral is "partial Bacterial large subunit ribosomal RNA". It matches the Rfam family "Bacterial large subunit ribosomal RNA", at positions 176 to 532 of the family's 2925-position model. Lineage: Eukaryota; Chrysophyceae; Chromulinales; Chromulinaceae. The record is from RNAcentral.